AUCGAGCUGACGAGUCCUAAAUAGGACGAAACGCGUGUCCUGGAU
Molecule: non-coding RNA, 45 nt
Filed under: Schistosoma mansoni
Lineage: Eukaryota; Metazoa; Platyhelminthes; Trematoda; Strigeidida; Schistosomatidae
Source: RNAcentral